This 89-nucleotide transfer RNA is filed under the name Blattabacterium sp. (Blatta orientalis) str. Tarazona. RNAcentral's name for it is "tRNA-Ser (TGA) (tRNA-Ser-TGA-1-1)". It matches the Rfam family "tRNA". From Rfam's summary of the family: Transfer RNA (tRNA) molecules are approximately 80 nucleotides in length. Their secondary structure includes four short double-helical elements and three loops (D, anti-codon, and T loops). Further hydrogen bonds mediate the characteristic L-shaped molecular structure. tRNAs have two regions of fundamental functional importance: the anti-codon, which is responsible for specific mRNA codon recognition, and the 3' end, to which the tRNAs corresponding amino acid is attached (by aminoacyl-tRNA synthetases). tRNAs cope with the degeneracy of the genetic code in two manners: having more than one tRNA (with a specific anti-codon) for a particular amino acid; and 'wobble' base-pairing, i.e. permitting non-standard base-pairing at the 3rd anti-codon position. Lineage: Bacteria; Pseudomonadati; Bacteroidota; Flavobacteriia; Flavobacteriales; Blattabacteriaceae. The record is from RNAcentral.
GGAGAGAUGGCAGAGUGGUUAAUUGCGUCGGUCUUGAAAACCGUUGAGGUUUUUACUUACCUCCGGGGGUUCGAAUCCCUCUCUCUCCG